GUCUCUGGCUCCACCCCGUGCCGGGGAGUCGGCUGCCUGUUUGAGCCGGCGGCGCGUGUGCAGUCGUCGUCCCGCAGGCAGUUCCGCUGGGCACGCUGGGUUUUCAGAGCCCUGACGAUACAGCGUUCGGGUCCACUAGUCUCACUAAAAACUUGGAAGACUCGGUGCCAUUCCUUUAUUCGUGCCGAGGCGAGAGGGACUCAGGGUGAGAUGAGAGCGGUCUCAGCUUCUGCACCUCGACUUGCACAUCUGUAAAAUGGGGCUGAUAGCCCUCCUGCUCUCAAGAGCACGUGGAGGUGCCAGGCAUCGUGGUCCUCAGUACAUCUUAGGUUACUGGUGUUUCCCGCCUCCAGCCACCGUGCCGCCAUUCCCUCCUGCGUGCCCAAGCCCUCUCCCUGUAUCACCUUCCAGAUGGGAAAGCCAAAGCUUGGAAAAGUCACUUGACCGAGGUCACAAAGCUAGUAGGUGAGAAAUCAGACUCAAAGGUCGUCCUGACUGAGAAGCCACUCCAGCAACCCACUCUGUGCCCCCAAUGUCUAGGUCGCUCUUUUUAUGGACACACAUAUAAGUUUUAGUAGGAACUAGUUUAAGGAAGCCAGCGAAGCCCAACAAUCUCAGGCUUCUGAGGGCUUGGGGAUUAUAGCAGGUGGAUUGUUCUCUCUAGACCGUGUUUUGAGUGCUGGUCCCACUAGAUAAGCUCAGCACUUGUGGUGUUCAGUAAUAUGUGUUCUCUGACUCUGCAUGUUAGAUCCUGGGGACUGAAUCCUGGGGCCUUGCACAGGCGAGGCAAGCACUGAGCUAAAUGUACAGACCUUUUUGUUUUAUUUUGCCCAGGUUGUCCUCAAACUUGGCAAUUCUCCUGCCUCAGCCUUCUCUGACGAACUGGAAUUACAGGCAUGUACCACUGUACUCAGCUGUUAGAUCUUUUCUAAGUAAGAUCUGUGAAUUAAAAAAUUCAAGUUGGAAAGGGAUGACACAUGAUUUGAGAAUGGCAGGAAGAAACUUUGCCUUGAGGAGGAGGGACAGUACACUGGGGGUAAGUAUACAUGAUUAUGCAGCUGCAGAGGCCUCUGAUCAAGACGUGGCCCCCAAUAUCAAUAACUAAUAAAUAUUAUUAUUCAAUAGCUAAUCAAAGAAAAUCUGAGGGAAUUAAGGCAGCAUGAUGUUAUGCAAAAAAGGUGUGUGCCCCCCCACACACACCUUUCACAGGUCAGCUGUAUUCCUCAAUGCAAAUCCUGUCACUCCUUGUCCCGUUCCAUUUCCACAGAUGUAAAGUGAAUUCUUGCUAGAUGGACCAGACAUUUAAUGGUCAACCACCAGGGCCCAGUUUCCAGGCCCCAGGUGUUGGUGGCUCAUUUACACCUGUUAUUUUGUUAUUUGUUUUCCUCUUUGCCUGUCUUGUCUCUUCUUUACUGUUUUAAUAGCUGUUUUCUGGCAUACCACUCAUUCCUUUAAUGAUUUUUAAUUUUUAAAUUUUAUACUUAGCAGAUGCUAAGUAUUAUAGUAUACAUAUUUCAGUAUCUACUUCAUAUUUAUACUAACAAUUCCAGAAAGAUAGAGAAACUGCCCCAGUAUAGCUCCAGCCACUCCUCUCUCCUUUGUGGCCCUUAUUAACUUUGUCUAUAUGUUACAACUCAACCAUAUCCUGUUAUAUUGUUCUUAUAUAAUCUUGUUCUUAAAACUUUAGAGGAAAGAAUAUAGUUUUGGAGGAGUUCAUUAAUCUUCACAUUUGCCAUUUCUAGUGCUCUUGAUUUCUCUUUCUGUAGAUUUGCAUUAUGUGGCAUAUUACUAAAGAAAACCAGUAUGGUCUCCUUGCUGGGCCUCAUUGACUGCAGGUUGCUGGAACAGAAUCUGCUCUAUGUUCCAUAAGCCAUCUGGCAUUUGUACAGGCCUUGAUAAGGUUCAAAGUGCUUUUGUUGCCCGUGGUUUAUAUCAUGAGACUUGUAAUUCCUUGUGAACACACAAUCAGGCUAAUGUCUUAAGGACCAGGAAACACCCUGAAUUAAUAAAAGGGUGUGCCCUUUCCUCUUCUCUGAGAACCUAAGCUGCUGCUCUGAAACCAGAAUGUUCUUCUGAAACAAUUAUAAUUUCAGAAUAAGUCAUUGGGGUCAAGUGGCACUAACUUGUCCACAUUAGCAAGCAUCUGAGCUUUCUUGGCCGUUCAGUGAUCAAGUUGGUGGGAUUUGGGAAAGGGUGGGAGAAAUAUAUUUCCGUAGAUACCAAUUCUUUCUAAAAACUAGAGAGAAAUAAUGACCAUUCAGUUUUAAAGCUUCCAAGCAUUUACUUACAAAACAGGGCGUACCUAACAUGGUCCAGGACAGCAGGAAUGUAGGAGGGAAGCCCAGCCCUCUGCCUGGGUCCUGAUCUGUUUCAUGGAGACUUUGUAUCAUGAUCCCAGAAUGGGCUUUCUACAGAUUUGCAUUUGUUCCUUGCAACAAAUACUCCUAAGAAGCCUGGAUUCUAAUCUCCUCAGACAGCUCAAGUUUGCAGGGUACACCAGCUGCCCAGGAAAUGGGCCCUCCUUCAGUAUUUCAUUGAGGCAGCUCCCUGAAACUUGGUCACAACAUCAAAGACUAUUCAAAAAGCCCAGGUAGGGUAGGUGGCCCCAGGAAAGAUGAGGGUGAUGGAGUGCAGCCUGCCUACCCAGGACACCUCAGACCCUGGGGGAGUAGUAGGCAGAGGGAGGAGUCCCUGAGAACAGGGAGGAUUCCCCUGCAGCCUCUCUUCAUUACAGACAAUAGAAUUUUUUCCCCUGGGGAUUGAAUCCAGGGCCUGAUACCUGCCAGGCAAGCGCUAUGCCAAUAAGCUACAUCUCCAGCCCUCUUAUUUUUGAGACAGGGUCUCACCAAGUGUCCAGUCUGGCACUGAAUUUGUAGUCCUUCUGCCUCAGCCUCUCAAGUACCUGGAAUUACAGGCAUCUGCCACCAUACCCAGCUCAGCUUACAAAAUUCUAUGGGGACACAAGAACUUACAACAAUGUGAAUAUUCACAAUAUCCAAAAAGUGGAAACAGUUCACACCUCCGGCUAAUGAAUGGAUAAACAAAAUGUGGUCUAUCCAUAUACAAUGGAGUGGCUUUUUAACCAUGGAAUGAUGUACUCAUACAUACGAAGAAACAGUGAACCUUGAAAAUGUGCUAAAUGGUAGAAGCCAGUCGUGAAAGAACACAUUUGACUCCAUUUAUGUGAAAUAUGCAGGAGACUCCAGAGACAGAAAGCAAGUCAGUGGCUGCCACAGCCUGAGACGGGGCGGGAGGCAAUGAAAACAUUCUAAAAUAGGUUAUGGUGAUUUUAGCACAACAUUACGAAUAUACUUCUUUUAAAAACUUUAUUUUUUUUAUGUGGUGCCAAGUGCCUCACACGUGCUAGGCAAGUGCUCUACCACCCUACCACCGAGCAACAACCCCAACUCAUGAAUAUACUUUUUUUUUGGGGGGGAGGGACAGGGAACCAUGAAUAUACUUUUUUAAAAUAUUUUUUUAGUUGUCAAUGGAUUUUUAUUUUAUUUAUGUAUAUGCAGUGCUGAGACUCGAACCCAGUGUCUCACACAUGCUAGGCAAGUGUUCUACAACUGAGCCACAACCUCAGCCCGUGAAUAUACUUUUAAAUUAAAUCUCUAAAUUGUAUACUUAAAAAAUGGUGAAGUAUGUUUUAUCUUAAGAAUAAUUUGAGCUGGGUGCAGUGGAGAAUGCCUGUAAUUUGGGAGGCUGAGACAAGAGGAUCCUGAGUUCAAAGCCAGCCUCAGCAAAAAGUGAGGUACUAAACAACUCAGUGAGACCCUGACUCUAAAUAAAACACAAAAUAGGGCUGGGGAUGUGGCUCAGUGGUCGAGUGGCCCCCAAGUUCAAUACCCAGUACCCUCCAAGAAAGAAUAAUUUGCUGUUACAACACACCCCCCAUGGAGACAGCGCGUCCAAGUAGACACAUAAUUACUGUACCGACAGCAUCAUGGAGUUGGAAGUUUGACUCUCCCACUUUUCCUUUUCCUCAGGCCACCUUCUUUGCACAAUGAGCCAUACACUUGAAGGAUGGGGGUGAGAUCUCCCACAGAAUGCUGAGACCGAGGCUGUGACAGCAGUGAUCUUCGCUGCAAAUCAGAGCGUGAAACUGGCUGAUUCAGGCAGAAGUGGGAUUCAUGAAAGAAUGGUUCUGAGCACAGAGAACUGCUGAGAGGGUGGAGAGCUGGGCACAGACCGACCAGGGGGAGUAGGGGAGGAAAAGUCUGCACCACCUGUCGGACUUCACUUCUGUGGAUUCCCAAGGUCAGAGCGACCGAUGUUCAUCUUUCAACUGAAACAGCACCGGAGGCAACCUUUUAAGAUCUCCUAUUCUCUGUUUUCUACAUUUAUUAUUAUUACUAUUGUUACUAUUAUUACUAUUAUUAUUAUUAAAAAGUCCAAAAGGAGUUUGGGAGAAAGCAUAAAGGAAAAAAAAUGCACUGAAGGCCAUCAGACUAGGGAGACUGAGCAGAAUCAUGAUCAGCGCUCUGUUCUAACAGAUUAUGGAUUUGGUAGGUAAGAUUGCUUCUAAAGCAUUUGUGAAGUAGCAGUGGUGCCCACGGAUAGGACCAGUUACUCAGAAGGUUGAGGCAGGAUGGCUUGAGCCUGAGAGUUUGAGGCCAGCCUUGACAACAUAGUGAGACCAUCUCUUAAAAAAACAGGCUGGGGGUAUAGCCCAGUGGUAGAGCGCUUGCCUCGCAUGCACCAGGCCCUGGGUUCCGUCCCACCACCACAAAAACAUAUACAUACGUGCAGAAGAAGUAAAAAUCCAGACUUGGGCUGGGGUUGUGGCUCAGUGGUAGAGUGCUCCCACAUGAGGCACUGGGUUCUAUCCUCAACACUACAUAAAAAUAAAUAAAGGUAUGGUGUCCAUCUACAGUUAAAAAAUAAAUAAAUAGGGGCUGGAGUUGUAGCUCGGUGGCAGAGUGCUUGCCCCUCACCCGGGAGGCCUUGGGUUCAACCCUCAGCACCACAUAAAAAAAAAAAAAAUAAAGAAAAUUUCUAAAUAAAUAACUAAAUAAACCCAGAACUGGUCUCCAGGGCCUUCCCACACAGGGAAACCAGAGGCCCUCCCGACACCCUCCGGGGGACUCGGGGACCCCUCCUACUCUGAGCUGUUGGUUUUGCGCAGUGCCCCCCUUCUACCCUCCUGCUCACCCCCCGGAAGCGGGCCCAAGCCUCUCUUCCGCUUCCCAGCAGCCCACCUUCAGGUUGUCAUGAGGAAGUGACAGGAGUAAACAUCAAGGAUGAAUAAACAACAUGAAUCAGCAAAAGGACUUGUUUUGGACUUUGCAGUGACUAAGUGACUUUUUAGUUGUAAACAUGUUUUGGUUAUAGGAUGACUAGAUAGUAUGCCCAUGUUAGAUAAGUUGAUGAUGUAACUAGGUAGUGUGCUUAUGUUAGAUAAGUUAGACAUAAACAAGUUUGUUGUAAACAUAUAGAGUAUAUAAGCGCGAGGGAAACUCCAUGUAUUUGCUCACAAUCAACUCUCAUCGCCUGAGAGUAAGAUCGUGCAGUGUGAGCCAGUCACCUCGUGUAUUGCUUUGUGUGGUGUGCGAAUAAACCAGCAUUUCAAAAGGCAAUCGAGUUCGUGCUUGGUGUUCGCGUACGUCGCGGUCCGGGGUCCAGUGCAGAUAUCCGGAAGGGAACUCCUGGUAACCAGACAAGGCUGAGAAGCUGCUCGUGA
This 5683-nucleotide long non-coding RNA is filed under the name Marmota monax (woodchuck). Lineage: Eukaryota; Metazoa; Chordata; Mammalia; Rodentia; Sciuridae. The record is from RNAcentral.